UACGAAGGGGGCUAGCGUUGUUCGGAAUUACUGGGCGUAAAGCGCACGUAGGCGGACCGGUAAGUUAGAGGUGAAAUCCCAGAGCUUAACUCUGGAACUGCCUUUGAUACUGCCGGUCUUGAGGAUGAGAGAGGUAAGUGGAACUGCGAGUGUAGAGGUGAAAUUCGUAGAUAUUCGCAAGAACACCAGUGGCGAAGGCGGCUUACUGGCUCAUUUCUGACGCUGAGGUGCGAAAGCGUGGGGAGCAAACAGG
This 253-nucleotide ribosomal RNA is filed under the name uncultured bacterium. Its description in RNAcentral is "partial 16S ribosomal RNA". It matches the Rfam family "Bacterial small subunit ribosomal RNA", at positions 524 to 776 of the family's 1533-position model. The record is from RNAcentral.